UACGGAGGGUGCAAGCGUUGUCCGGAUUUAUUGGGUUUAAAGGGUGCGUAGGUGGCCCUGUAAGUCCGUGGUGAAAGCCUCUUGCUCAACAAGAGAACUGCCAUGGAUACUGCAGGGCUUGAGUCCAGACGAGGUUGGCGGAAUAGAGGCUGUAGCGGUGAAAUGCAUAGAUAGCCUCUAGAACCCCGAUUGCGUAGGCAGCUGACUAGGCUGGUACUGACACUGAGGCACGAAAGCGUGGGGAG
RNAcentral lists this ribosomal RNA (245 nucleotides) under uncultured Hymenobacter sp. Its description in RNAcentral is "partial 16S ribosomal RNA". It matches the Rfam family "Bacterial small subunit ribosomal RNA", at positions 524 to 768 of the family's 1533-position model. Lineage: Bacteria; Pseudomonadati; Bacteroidota; Cytophagia; Cytophagales; Hymenobacteraceae. The record is from RNAcentral.